Molecule: ribosomal RNA, 520 nt
Filed under: uncultured Glomus
Lineage: Eukaryota; Fungi; Glomeromycota; Glomeromycetes; Glomerales; Glomeraceae
Description: SSU rRNA
Rfam family: Eukaryotic small subunit ribosomal RNA
Source: RNAcentral
AGCAGCCGCGGUAAUUCCAGCUCCAAUAGCGUAUAUUAAAGUUGUUGCAGUUAAAAAGCUCGUAGUUGAAUUUCGGAAUCAAUGCGUCGGUCGUGCUUUCGGGUACGUACUGGUGUCAUUGGUUUCUCCUUUCUGACGAGCCGUGAUGUCAUUAAUUUGGUGUUACGGGUAGUUAGGACUGUUACUUUGAAAAAAUUAGAGUGUUUAAAGCAGGCUCACGCUUGAAUACAUUAGCAUGGAAUAAUGAAAUAGGACGUUUGAUUCUAUUUUGUUGGUUUCUAGGAUUGACGUAAUGAUUAAUAGGGAUAGUUGGGGGCAUUAGUAUUCAAUUGUCAGAGGUGAAAUUCUUGGAUUUAUUGAAGACUAACUACUGCGAAAGCAUUUGCCAAGGAUGUUUUCAUUAAUCAAGAACGAAAGUUAGGGGAUCGAAGACGAUCAGAUACCGUCGUAGUCUUAACCAUAAACUAUGCCGACUAGGGAUCGGAUGAUGUUAAUUUUUUAAUGACUCAUUCGGCGCCUU